AAAGACGUGGUCCUUCUGACUGUUAGUCCUGGUGAUAAGCUGUUAGGCUGUGACUUUUUUGGUUUAUUCUAAAGAACGAAGAACUUCCUUUACCCAAACUGAAAGCUCAAAAGGAAAAGGGCUUCUUUCUCCUGCUGAAUGCAUGUACAACAGCUUUGAUGGAGAAUGUAUUUCUUCGUACAAGUUCCCAGGCAUGGAAAGAGGCAAACUCAUGUACAUGCACUCUUUUAGUCAUUGCUCAUUGCUACAGUUUAUGAUCAAGCGCACACAAGCUGUUCUUAUUUUCACAAUGGAGGCCAUCAAUGAGUCCUGUAGUUCAGUGAGGGAAACUAUAUUUCCCUUUAUGUGGCAAAGCUCUGAGGUGAUGAAUGCCCUUCAAAGGUGAGUGCUUCUAAUUCACAGGCUCACUUUCAUCAUCUUCAAGGGCUUUCAGCUGUCCUUUGUCAUUGCAAACCAAGCAGGUGAAGAUGGAGGUGCUGGGGCAGGAGGAAAGGUAAAGCUUAAUCUUGCACAUAUGUAAGCUAGAAAUAACAUUUUUAAAAAUCAAAACAGAUGCAUACCUUUUGAAACUACAGUUAAAGUGGAUAAAGGACUUUUUACAAAUUAUAUACAGUAUUUUGAUGGCUGCUGCAGAUGGAAGCUGAAAGAGAAAAGAAAAUUAUGUUUGAUAAUAGAAAAAAAAAUCUAUAUUCCAUGCAAAGAAGGUGUCUGAAGGAAGCAGGGGGCAUCACACUGAUAACAACAAAGCAGAGUUAAGAAGACCUGCCUAUAAGGAUCAAAGGAAAGAUCCCAAUCCUAAGUAGGUAUCCUAGCGCUAUCAGAAUCUAACCUUUGCUUCCCACAGAUUUUGUAUGAAAACAUGCCUGAUACAUCUGACCCUCUUGGAUUUUAAAUUGGAAAACUGCCGUGAGUCAGGGUUAUUCUAUCUAAUUUUCAGGUUCCCCUGCUGGAGAAUGUAUAGAGGGUUUGUGAACUCCACUCUCACCUGUGUCUGAGCAGGGUGAGCAUGUGGUGCAGAGCUGCUGGCACCAGUCUGAAGCAGCCCUGGUCCCUUCUACAUCAGAUUCUUUGAACUGCCUAGGAAGGGAGGUAGGAGACCAGAUUAUGUCUGACUGAUAUUAAACUACAGAUGCUGAAGGAAAGGAAGUUUCUGAGAUCAUACUUAGUGGAUGCGCAUGCAUGCACACUCCCAUGUGUACCUUUCUCUUCUGCAGCUUGGCUUCAUACAAAUCUGACAUUGCAAAACAGAAGCUCCCAGAACUUAUUAAUGAGCAUAAAACAGAGAAGGAAGUGUCCCUUCUGAAGGAAAAAUUGCAGUUCCUCACAUACUCACAUCUCACGCCUUACCUACCGAAGAAUCUGCACAGGAAGAAAACUGUAGCAGUGCUGCAAUAAAGGACGGAACCCUUGGAACCUCUAGACCCUU
This 1426-nucleotide long non-coding RNA is filed under the name Anser brachyrhynchus (Pink-footed goose). RNAcentral's name for it is "lncRNA (ENSABRG00000007968.1)". The record is from RNAcentral. Lineage: Eukaryota; Metazoa; Chordata; Aves; Anseriformes; Anatidae.